This 253-nucleotide ribosomal RNA is filed under the name uncultured bacterium. RNAcentral's name for it is "partial 16S ribosomal RNA". It matches the Rfam family "Bacterial small subunit ribosomal RNA", at positions 524 to 776 of the family's 1533-position model. The record is from RNAcentral.
UACGUAGGGUGCGAGCGUUGUCCGGAAUUAUUGGGCGUAAAGAGCUUGUAGGCGGUUUGUCGCGUCUGCCGUGAAAAUCCGGGGCUCAACCCCGGACUUGCGGUGGGUACGGGCAGACUAGAGUGUGGUAGGGGAGACUGGAAUUCCUGGUGUAGCGGUGAAAUGCGCAGAUAUCAGGAGGAACACCAAUAGCGAAGGCAGCUCGCUGGGACGGUACUGACGCUGAGGCGCGAAAGCGUGGGGAGCGAACAGG